Aethalodelphis obliquidens (Pacific white-sided dolphin) is the source of this 3123-nucleotide RNA transcript. It is a transcript of the gene named SPARC like 1, with no coding region annotated. The record is from RefSeq and is a predicted model, not a curated record. The transcript is spliced from 12 exons. NCBI's taxonomy places the organism in Eukaryota, Metazoa, Chordata, Mammalia, Artiodactyla, Delphinidae.
GAUCCCGCUUGUAAAAUCUUUUAGAGUUGUUUGAAAAAGACAAGAAAAAGGCAUACGGAGCCAAGUGCUUAUAUUCUGGCCAAGUUACGAGCCUCUGAGAACAAGAGCUUGAGGGGAGAACUGUUAACCCGUUCUCUCCGGCAGAAUGAGCUCUCUCCCUGUAGGUCUGCGCUGCCUGUAAAGCUGAGCGCGCCCUCGCCCUUGGAGUGAGAGGCUAGCCCGCUGGAGAACUGCAGGAAUCUGCAACAAAAACGAUGACAGUCUGAAAUACGUCCCUGUGCCAACCUCCAAAUUCGGCUGUCACCUCAGACCCUGAGUAGUUGACAGAGCAGCAGAAUUUCAACUCCAAUAGACCUGAAUGUGUUUCUGGGCAAAGAAGCAGAGCUAACGAGGAAAGAGAUUCAAAGAGUAUUGGGCGUUUGUGAAACUUAUUUCCUGACUGUGUGCAAAGACAGGAUUCAGCUUCAAUUUUCUGCCAAGGCUCUGGGUCCAGCCACCUACCUGAAGGUCUAGAAAAAUGAAGUCUGUGAUUUUUUUCCUAUUCAUUUUGGAAACUGCAGUUGCAAUCCCGACACAAGCAAGGUUCCUAUCUGAUCAUUCCAACCCAACUGCUGAUUCCUUGAGUUCCUUCCAACAGGCUGAAAUGUUGGUAACAUCUGAGCACACUGCAAUCCCCACUGUAAGGGCUGAAGAUGCAGAAAAUGAAACUGAAGUAUCCAUAGAAGACCAUCCCACUCAUAAGCCUGAAAAAUCUUCAGUACUAAAGUCAGAGGAGGAAAACCAUGACCAGUCAGCAGAUCAGGACCAGAGUUACAGCCAACACCUGGGAUUACAGGAUCAAGAGAAAAGUGAAAGUGACUUAAUUGAGAAUUUGGAGUAUACACCAACUGAAGGUACACUGGACCUUAAAGAAGAUAUGAGUGAGCCUCCAAAGGAAAAGCUCCCCGAGAGAUUCCUUGGUCAUGAUGUUAGUCCCACUGUAGAUUCUAAUCAACAAGAAAGCAUCACAGAGACAGAGGAAAACCAAGAACAACCUAUAAAUGACUCACAUCCUCAGUUGAACGGGAGCAGCAAACAGAGCCAAGACCUAAGUGUUCAAGGAAACCAAGAGCAGGGUCCAAAUAUCCCAAAUGGAGAUGAGGAAGAGCCAGGUAAAAUUGGUACCCACAAUGAUAACCAAGAAAGGGAGAGAGAAGUUCCCGAGCAGCAUUCUACCAGCAAUCAGGAAGAAGACAGUACACAGUCUGAUGGUAUUUUGGAAGAGUCCUAUCAACCAACUCAAGUAAGCAAGAUGCAGAAAGAUGAAUUUGAACAGGGUGGCCAAGAACAAGAAGAGGAAAACUCCAAUGCAGAGAUGGAAGAGGAAACUGCAUCAAAAAUCAGUAAGCCCAAUCAAGAUAAAGAAUGGCAGAGCCGAGAAGCACAGCCUGGCCUUGAAGUUAUCAGCAACCAUGAGGAGAUGGACAAAAAGACUCUUUCUGAGCCUUUGCUGGUGGAGCCUACGGAUGGUAACAUCAUGCCCGGAAAUCAUGGGAUUGAUGAUGACGGCGAUGAUGGCCCCAGGCACAAUGCGAGUGAGGAGUACUUCAACCCAAGCGAGGCUUUCCUGGAGAAUGAAAGAGCUCAAUCCAAUUACUAUCCCAUUAACUAUGAGGAGCAAAGAGGAAAAGCACGUGAGAAUGAGAAUGUAGAUACCAGCGAACCUGUAGAAAACCGAGGGGCCAAGAAAGCAGAAAGCUCACUGAAUGAAGAUGACCGUUCAACUGAAGGCAACACAAGGGUGCACAGUGUCGAUUCUUGCAUGAGCUUCCAGUGUAAAAGAGGACACGUCUGCAAGGCUGAUCAACAGGGAAAACCCCACUGUGCUUGCCAAGAUCCAGUGACUUGUCCUCCUACAAAACUCCUUGACCAAGUUUGCGGCACUGACAAUCAGACCUACGCCAGCUCCUGCCAUCUCUUUGCUACUAAGUGCAGAUUGGAGGGGACCAAAAAGGGGCACCAACUGCAGCUGGAUUACUUUGGAGCCUGCAAAUCUAUUCCUGCUUGUACGGACUUUGAAGUGAACCAGUUUCCUCUAAGGAUGAGAGACUGGCUCAAGAAUAUCCUCAUGCAGCUUUAUGAACCUAACCCUGAGCACGCUGGAUAUCUAAAUGAGAAGCAGAGAAAUAAAGUCAAGAAAAUUUACCUGGAUGAAAAGAGACUCCUGGCUGGGGACCACUCACUUGACCUUCUCUUAAGAGACUUUAAGAAAAACUACCACAUGUAUGUGUAUCCGGUACACUGGCAGUUCAGUGAGCUGGAUCAACAUCCUAGGGACAGGGUCUUGACCCACUCUGAGCUCGCUCCUUUGCGGGCAUCUCUGGUGCCCCUGGAACACUGCAUAACGCGCUUCUUUGAAGAGUGUGACCCCAACAAGGAUAAGCACAUCACCCUGGAGGAGUGGGGUCACUGCUUUGAAAUUAAAGAAGUUACAGUUGAUUUUUAUGAGCAAGGCUGUUUUUUAAUAAUCGAGAUAUGAAAGGUGUUCAAACAAUGAGCAAUCAAAACUGCUCACAGAAUGUAAAUCAACAAUGAACAUCAAAUCUCUAAAGCAGAGGUUUUACCCAUGUGUUCACGACAUACGUAUACGUAGGAUGACUAUGCAGCCAAGAAAUAAAGAAACAAGACAUAGAUGAAAAUCUCCUGUUUUGAAUUAAGAUUUGAAAGAACUCAAACUACCCAGCCUCCUCCUUUGUUCUGACCACUUCUGAAGUAUAUGCAGUGUGAUACUUGUAGAUUUAUAUUUAGCAAAAUGCUUGCAUGUCUGAGACGACAAUGAGAGUAACUGCUUGAUAACAGUAUAUGCACCAGGCAUUUAACAUUAACUUUGGAAAUAAAACUUUAAAAUUAAGUAAAGUCAAUAUACACAAAAUAUUGUAUACUGUUUGUGAACAGGAGUUUAACUCAUCACUCUCUGCAUCCAUUUAUGAGAUACUUAAAGAUUAUAAAACUCGAAAAAAAUAAUAAUUCAUUUUGUCCAUAAUACCAUGUGCACUUCAAAAAAGUGAAAUAAGCCUCUUUGUUGUUGAUGUGUGUUAUUUUCAGUAUCUUAAUAUCCUAAUAAAAAUCCAAAUGUUUACUCAA